Molecule: long non-coding RNA, 413 nt
Filed under: Homo sapiens (human)
Lineage: Eukaryota; Metazoa; Chordata; Mammalia; Primates; Hominidae
Description: non-protein coding lnc-C11orf53-2:1
Source: RNAcentral
UCAAUGAUGAGAACACAUGGACACAAAGCAGAGAACAAUAGACCUGGAGGCCUACUGGAGGGUGAAGGGUGGAAGGAGGGAGAGAAUCAGGAAAAAUAACUACUUGGUGCUAUGCCUAAUACCUACCUGAGUGAUGAAAUAAUCUGUACAACAAACCCCCACGACAUGAGUUUACCUAUAUAACUGAUAUGGUUUGGCUGUGUCCCCACCCAUAUAUCAUCUUGAAAUAUAAUCCCUAUAAUCCCCAUGUGUCCAGGGAGAGACCUGGUGGGAGGUGAUUGGAUCUUGGGAGCAUUUCCCCCAUGCUGUUUUCAUGAUAGUGAGGGAGCUCUCAUGAGAUCUGAUGGUUUUAUAAGGGGCUCUUCCUCCUUCAUUCCUCACUCUUUUCUCUCUUGCCUACUGCCAUAUAACAC